UGAAGCUCGUGGAUACAAUUGGUUGUGAAUAUUUAAUCACAGAAAAUAUUAUAAACGAGUCGGUAGUUUCAGUCGUAUAAAUUUAGUAAAUAUUAAGCAAUAAUAAAAUUCCUAAAUCCAAUAAUAAAUUUGGUCGUCUCUUCAACAUGAUAAAUAAUAACAUUUUCUUUAUUAAAAAAAAGAGCCAACACUGGUGCUGCCACUUUUAUAGAUGGGAAGUUUGAAAGGUAGGAUAAAUAAGGUUAUUUAAUUUAUAUCUGUAAGCAACGGUAAAUCAUUGCUGACAAAAAA
Non-coding RNA from Cinara cedri, 291 nucleotides. The record is from the annotation of a GenBank genome assembly. Lineage: Eukaryota; Metazoa; Arthropoda; Insecta; Hemiptera; Aphididae.